This 115-nucleotide small nucleolar RNA is filed under the name Meriones unguiculatus (Mongolian gerbil). Its description in RNAcentral is "Small nucleolar RNA SNORA17 (ENSMUGG00000022496.1)". It matches the Rfam family "Small nucleolar RNA SNORA17". From Rfam's summary of the family: snoRNA ACA 17 belongs to the H/ACA family of snoRNAs and is predicted to guide pseudouridylation of the 28S rRNA at positions U4659 and U4598. It shares the same host gene together with ACA43. NB This family has a high threshold value to exclude a large number of closely related sequences that do not appear to have conserved H and ACA boxes, and may be pseudogenes. The record is from RNAcentral. Lineage: Eukaryota; Metazoa; Chordata; Mammalia; Rodentia; Muridae.
CCUGCCCCUAAAGGUGCUACAGGUGUGGCUACUGUGUCACAUGUACAUCAGUAGGUAUCAGAGAGGAGAGAGGCUAUGGGUAUGCUCAGUGUUCUGACCUGUGUAGCCUAACACU